Non-coding RNA from Notechis scutatus (mainland tiger snake), 1690 nucleotides. The record is from RefSeq and is a predicted model, not a curated record. Lineage: Eukaryota; Metazoa; Chordata; Lepidosauria; Squamata; Elapidae.
UUAAAAUGCAUACUCUAAUACCUAUUAUUAAUGUUUACAUCUAAAGCUGGAAAAAAAUUAAAAUAUACUAUAAUUUAAACACAACUUUUGACCCUUCAAUUUGAAUACAGGUUGGAAGAUGAACUUCAUCUGACAUAGAUAAAGAAACUGUUGUCCUUUAACAUACUUGGAAAUGUCUGUUUUUGCACCUUGACAAUAAUUCACCUCCAGACCCUGGGAUAUGUUGAAUAUUUUUUAUGACUGAAUGGCCCUAUGAAACAAUAAUCCUUUAAAAAAAACUGUAUUUCGAGAUGAGUUCCAAUUCCAGCCUUUGAAAUACAUAGCUUGAAACUUUCAAGCAAGCAUCCCAUAAUUACUUUUGAUCAAUUAUGUUGUAAUGAAUACAUGAAUACACUGAUUGAAUGGAAUAAAGACUUUGCCUAGAUUCUCAUGUCACAUGCCGGUAUUCAGUAUCAAACACUUCAAUGCAUCUUAGAUUUAUUCAAUCAAAAAUAGCAUUUCAUAUUCACUGGAUUUACAUAGGAAAGACUUGAGUGACAGAAUCAUCAAGUUAAGAGAUGCAAUGCAGCUAUACCAUUUAGACAGCUGCCUGCCGUGUCCCACAACAGAUCCAUUUUGGAAUUUAUUAUGUGUAUUAACUCAAUUUUGAGAUAACUCAAUUUUGAGACGCUCUCAGAUGCUCAUUCUUUUGAACUACGUUCCUAUUGCAUGGAAAUUGGCAUUUGGACAAAGAAUGUGGUGAAAGCAAAGGCAUUUUUAAAAAUGAAGUAAAGCUGUUUGCUGUGGAGAAAUGGGCAAAAAUUCCUAUGCAACAAGCAAGUUAUAAGAAAAGGGUGGUUGUAGUUAUUGCAGCUAAAUAGUUAUGAAUUUAAGGCAGUGAUUACUUUUCCACACCAGCAUAUUGUAUAUAACUCCCUUUUUCUCCCUCCAUAGAAAACAUAUUUAAGUUAUGCACAAAUUCAGAAAAUCUGAAAGGAAACAAAUGCUUUUUCACAUUAUUUCAAAAGUUCCAAAUGAAAAGCAGCAUUAUUUAUUCUCCCUAAUGACCUUAUGCACUGCAAGGCCAGCAACAGAAUCAAUAAUAAACACAAUAGGUUGUAAAGUAGGAAUCCAUUAGUAAGGCCAUGGCAGAAAUUCAAUGUAUGAGUUUAUUUUUCUACAUAUUUUCAGAGAGAAGCAUAAUAAAAUCUCUAGAACUGGUGGUACUUAAUACAUAAUGUUCAAAGCACUUACCAUUUUUCUACCAUUUUAUAAAUCAGUACUGCAGUCAUACUAACGGCGUUGCGCAAAACUAAAUAUCCAGGUAAAUAUUACUUGAUCAUUGUGGUGAACUUUUAAGUCUGAUCCAUAGUUCACGUUCCAUAGGCAAUUUCUAUUUUGCACAAGUCUUGUAGACUUCCACAAGUGCAAUAAAUAAUCCUGCAUUAUCACUUAAUUUAUUUUUACAUCAAGUUAUGGCUUAAACAUUUGCUCUACAAGGUCUGAAGAGACUGAAGUUCAAUAGAAUUUACUAUUUUUAUUAACUGCAGUGACUUUUCAUCAUAGAAACAAUAAAUAGAAAUCUUAUAUUUUUUUUAUAAAACGUAUCAUUCAAGGUACUGUAGCAACUUUUACUGACAUGAAACCACUGUUAACAUAAUGAGGCAUUCAAAAUAAACUUUUAAGUUUGUGAGGACAGAAUUUCAGUUAC